GUCUAUGGCCAUACUACCCUGAACAAGCCUGAUCCCGUCUGAUUUCAGAAGCUAAGCAGGGUCAGGCCUGGUUAGUACCUAGGAAGACCAGGUGCUGUAGGCG
This 103-nucleotide ribosomal RNA is filed under the name Pteropus alecto (black flying fox). Lineage: Eukaryota; Metazoa; Chordata; Mammalia; Chiroptera; Pteropodidae. The record is from RNAcentral.